GAGAAAGUCUUGCAUAUUUAAAUCUGAUGGAAAUUAGAAAAACACGUGGACACGAGGAUCGGUUUCAUUCCAAUAGCCGGGCAGAAAGUCAGCCAUGGGCUGCGUAUGUUUACACCCGCUCUGCACUAAAGUACAGUUUCCCAAAGGCGACAAUGAAGCGGAUAAAGGGCAUCCACCAUCUUUUCACAGACAAGAGAACGGUGACGGAGGAAGGGGGUGGAGACGCAGCGGGUGACUCACUGCUGUUCUCGCAGACUGUUUCUGAAGAGCUCUGCCGGGAGGCCAGAUAAGGACCGGGAGGCUGGAGUGGGUGAGUCAUAACCCCUCCACUGAGAAACGUGAUCGCAUGUGGAGACACCCUCCCACACCUGCUCCUCCUCCCCCCCGACUCUCUAUUGAAGAUCAUGAUUAAUGCAAAACUGAUUGGGUAAAAAUGCUAACAAUACCCCCCCACGCAUGCGCACACACACGCACACACACGCAUGCACGCACUACCUUUUUCUCUGUACAUUUUUCAGCCUGUGUUCCUCAGGCCAUGACAGGUGGUUGUGUUGUUGUUCCAACUGUGUGACUGCAAGACUAACAGCUUUUCUGCAUGAAAUGAGGGAAUGUUUGGACUUCAGAUUUUUCAAUUAUAUCACCCUCACCUGUAGUCACCCAUUGCCGACAAGCCCAUUCUUCUUCAGGAUGUGUCUCUAUGCUCUGUCUUGACUAUGAAGUGACAUUCUGAUAAUUUAUCUUUUCUUUUAGCAUCAUAUAACAGUCAUGUCUGUUCUGGUUUGGUUUUAUUCAUUGUGUGUGAAUAUGGUAUUUUCAUAUGUAACUCGUGGCUGAAACAUCAUUUUAGCAAACAUGGACUCGCCAUGCAAGGAAAUAAUCUGCAUGUACUUCACAUAACCGUGCUACUGAUGUAAGCAGGAACUAUACUAUUAUAUAAUACAAUACUAUUGAGAGGUGCAAACAGUAAGUUUGAAAGUUUAUUUUUUUGUUUGCACAUUUACUUUCUGUUGUACUCUAAUUUUCACUUCAUAUAAGUUCAGAGAAUAUUUUAGUGAGUGUGUCUGAAGAGCAGUGUGUGAGAAGCAAACAGGCACCAUCUUUAUUUGGCAAAAGAUAGCACCCAGACAACUGGGAGAAAACCUGUCUGCUUUUAAAUGCUCAGCUUCUUUCUAGGACGUCCUUCUCAUGCUGCUUGUAAUGAGCAUGUACCGUCCUGUGCAGAGGGGCCUCUUUGUGCGCAUGUGUGUAUACGUAUGUGUGUGUGAGUGUGUGUGUGUGUACAUGUCUGUGUCUGGCAUCAGCAUAAUAGGCAGAUAUGACAUAAUCUGAAACUAGAUGGUAAUAACACAAACAUAGGUAAAAGGGCAUGCAAAUAGAAGAAUGAACAAUAAACAACAAUUAACUUCAACAGAAUUUAGUCAUUAAGGAGUUCAGAAGUAGAGAAAUAAUGCCAAAAUAAAGCAUGAUUGGUACAAACAUGUAGGAAGAGGGGGAGAGGACUAAGACAGCACAUGUUGUUUCCCUGUUCGAACUUCCAUUUCCUCAUAUUUGUGCCGGAAUCACCAUGCAAGGGCAAGACACCUUAUUUCCUGUUAAUUGUACACCUCUGUGCCAAUCACAACCAGACACAGAGAGGAAAUGUUCAGCCUUCAGCUUUUGUUUCGGUGGAGACAUUUUGGUUAUUCUGGAGCCCAGCUCUAGCUCUCAUUGGCUGAAAGGAGGAGGCUCCAGGGGCCUCAAGGACAUUGACUGUUCCACCUUCAUUCCGAUUUACAUCUCGAAUUGUAGUCCUCCCCUCAAGACUCUUUUUAAUUGGCACUGUCAAUAAAUCUUAUCAUGAGUGGCAUGUCAGAACCGGCUAUUCAGAGGAAGCUUUAGCUGAAGGUUAGCUGUAGAAUCAUGCGAUUGUGCUUUGGAAAUGGUAGAUGCGGCCGAUCGUGUGGGUGCCGUCCCGUAGGCGUGCAGGUGGGUGUCAGGCUCAGGCUCUGUAAUGAAAUGAUUGUGCGUAACGUCCUGCAGGGGCGUUAAUGCCAGAAUCCGCCACCUGACCGGGGUGGGUCUCACACUGGAGACGAGCGAUCGUCCAGGUCAGCCAAACUGUCACAGGAAGCGCGCUGGGGAAAUGUGUGGGCGAGCGGCGCGGAGAGGUCGCCAGGCGCGGCGUACGUCCGCGCUCGUCACGCUGGCCGGCUGUCUCGCCGCGCGUCUGCUGUGUGUCCUGGCGCGACUGAGGGUCACCGACGGAAACGGGCCGCGUGAUUGGCAGGGGCCGUUGGGCUGGAGAGCGGGGGUGACUCACAGGCUCAGAGCCGUCUGUUGCCAAAAGGUUUUUUUUUCCCUCAGUUAUUGUCCUUUUUUCAUUUUUUUUUUAUAUCAGAUUUGCAUCAUCAUAUUUUCCCACCAAUCAGCAUUGUGCCACUGGCACCCUGCAUAAACAGUACUGCAGCUCAUCAUAGUGUGUGUCCUCCCAUGCCCUCACCUGUGGGCUGCUUUUAUCUUACGCCCUACAGGCCACGCAGCACUAAGGAAUGAGUACUACUCGCAGAAUAAAAGCGUCGCUUUGGAUUAAUGCAUCUGCCAAAUAAAAUGUCAUAUAAUGUAAUGUAAUGAUAACACUCAUCUAUGGGCACUCAGUGAUCGAGAGAAUAAUACUGGAAUAAUGCUGGAAACAAAUGUAUAUGUAUCAAUACUACCAAAGCAACUAUGUCUGUCAUAUCACUGAAUAGAGGUCUGCAGUUUAACCGUCCAGUCAACCGUGGUCUAGAGUAUCCUGAGUGUAAUGAAUGUGGAUGUGUGUGUGUGUGUGUGUGUGUGUGUGUGUGCAUGUGUGUGCGUGUGUGGGUGUGUGUGCAUGUGUGGAUGUGUGUGUGUGUGUGUGUGUGUGUGCGUGUGUGUGUGUAUGUGUGUGUGUGUGCAUGUGUGUGCAUGUGUGUGUGUGGAUGUGUGUUGCUGUGUGUGUGCGAGUGUGUACAGUGCAUGUGUUCUACCUCAUUUGCAGCUGUUCUCUGCACUUUGAAGUUGAGCCAUGUCAGUUCAGUCUGGUUUAUCGGGGCCCCCCUCCGAAUCACGCCUCCUCCGUCUGGCCCCUGCAGAACAGUCGGUCAUGUGGAUUCUCAGCAGGGUAAAUUCAGGUCACACACACCCAGCCUGCCCCAUUCAUUGGCCAAACGGCAAACUGAGCCUCAUUGACACUUAACAGUGCUCAGAUUUCACAUGUUGUACAGUCUGCGGGGGACAGAAGCAUGCAAAUGACGCCCACUGUUGUAUGGAUUUUCUGAAAUGCAGAGUGUUGUCAACAAUUAGUGGCUUGCUAACAGACAAUGAAAUACGCUGAAGUUCCUUCCUUAUUUUCCCUGCUUUGUUUUCUCUUUUGCUCUGGUAAAAGAUUGUCCACCCUCUUAAGCGAAACCUUUAGCUAAAGCAGUGAAAAUAUAACUAGACGCAGGUACCUGAUACAACAAGUUGACGUAAAAUACGGUUUUUGGUAAACUGCAGCAUCAUCUGGACAAUUCAUUUAAUGUCUGUUACAUCAGUACUUGAUACAAGUUACUAUAUCAUUUUUUCAGAACAUCUGAUUUUGUUGCAGCCUUUCAAGGUCAAAUUUAUGAACAUGAUAGAGGAAUUGACCAGACUUAAACUUUGUUGAGAUAUGCUUUUGUUCAUUCUUUUUUCCUGUUUCAAGGUUGGCCGACUCCAUCUGGAGAAAGUCUAAUAUGCUUUUUUAUUUUUUUCAGCAGAGAUUUCUGUCUGUACUGGAAUCAGUGUGCUUACCCGUUGAACUUCAGUGUGUAUUAAGCAACUUCAGAUGGUUAAAUUGGUCCGUCACGAUUAUUUGUUGCUAAAAGUAUCCCCCUCCUCAGCCCCCCCCCCCCCAGACUUGAGAAUAAUUCUGAGUGUAUCUGCAGUGAACAGCACAGAUAACCACAGUGCCUGCCCUCUGGUAAGACUGGCCGUCACCCUCUGCUUGCUGUGGCAGGAGGAGCUACACAGUCUCAGCCACAAAGACACUCCUCCAUUUCCAAGAUGAAAAUGACGUGACUGCAAAGGGCUCAGGUUCUCUCUCAUUUUUUUUUGUUCUUUCAGUAAUGAUGCUGGUCAGUCACAUGGGCUGCUCUCCAAAGAAAGGUACCCUUCCAAUUUUAUUUCUGUUUUAAUUCCACCGCCCCUCAGUCUGCUCUCAUGUGGGGUGGAGUGGGGGGGGUGAGUCGCAUUUCAAUCUUUAAUGGCCACGUGUAAACGCUUGAGUGGCUGACACUGGCAUAUCUCUCCACAGCGCUGAAUGCUACAUGUGACUGGGGGUAUAUUUUAACAGAGUUAUGUAACCUCAGACUGCUCCACGUACAGUCGAGCGAGGCUACACAUGAUGCCUGCUACCACGAAUGCUCCUGCAUGCAUGACCUUCACCACGUAUUGCAUAAUUCCUGCACUAAGCGAGCCCUCGAAUUGGCGCAGUUUUCACAGUUUUUUGUUUCGUACCAGAACUGAAUGCAAACUGUGACCACCUGACUUUUGGUUCUCUAAAAAAAUCAUUGUUUAUUUCUUCUCUUUUGUUCAUCUUGGGUCUCAAGUCUGUUUAGUGCCAUUCACUCGCUCACUGUUCUUUUUUCAUGGGGAUAUUUUUUAUAUUUUUCCAGUUUAAAAUGCAGAUUUACAGGUGAGUUCACAUCUGCAGGCACCUGGCAACCAGUGCAGGCUGUCUCCAUAGUGACGCAUGACUACAAAGCAAUAAGUGCUCAUGCCCAUGGAUUCUUGUGGAACAUGAGAGAUAAAGACCUGUGUCCACACUGCAAGUGCCACCUGCGAAAGUGCAAAAGCACAAGGGGCCCUCAGAGUAGAGACGGUGUAUGUGUGUCGGUCCCUUUGGUUCACAGCCGCAGAACCUGUAGGAUCCGUAAUGGCACAUUCGUUUGGGGAGGCUACAUGAGCGUGGAAACCGGGCCGGGCGAUAGGUCGGUGCAACAGCUGGUGUAUGCGAAUGGCACCUCUGCCUCUCAAGUCAGCUGAGGACAGACCUGCUGUGCUAUCAAACUAAUUGCAGCCAUAUGUGUCAGUUGUGAGCCUUUUCCCGUCCUCCCAUUGUAAGCUGUGUCCCUGUUUUGUGUGAAAAUGUCAGCUGGGCGAAGAAGCGCUAGGCUUGUUCAAUUAGGCCUGUUCUGGUUUUUUCAGCUUUUUGCAUGUCUGUCUCUUGACCCUUUUACCCCUGCAGUGAAUAGAUCAUUCAUUCACUGGCCGUCAGUGCCAGCUAUUGGGGAUUAGUAUAGAAUAGCCAGUGUUCCCUACACUGUCCCUCUAAUGAAAUCACUGCGAUACGGCUCCUGCUCUGCAGUUGCAUCUCAGUCAUGCCACUAUUUUCUGAUGUGGCUCACAACAGAAGGCAAUCAGACUGCACUCACCAGUAUGUGACUUGUGUUGUAUUGGGGUUAUUGUGAUUGUUGUUGCUGACUGGGACUGAAAAUGUAAAAUCAGGUGCACUGCUUCACCGAAAAUAUGAUUUUGGCAGACAUUCGGCACACUAGUUCCUCCUUUCAGUUUCCCCUUUUGACUCCGCUGACUCAGAAAAGAACAGAGGUUCACACAAGAGGCAUGCAUGUGUCUGUCUGCUAAAUAUUCUGUGGGUUUUCAGAGGGAAUGCAAGUUUAGCUUGUUCGCUGUCUACAUUUUCUUUUUCACAUGUUUGUACCACGAGCAAAACAGAGAGUGGGAUAAGACUAAGAGUGUCCUGACUGUACAUACAAAGCCAUGGAAGAGAGCAUAAGCAGUGAACCUAACCAGUGAACAGGUCCUGGUGGAGGCAUGCGUGGAAGAAACUUCUAAAGCAUGAAAUAGAGACUCAGUCCCCCGACUGUACCCUCAAGAUGUGAAUUCAGUCAUGAAGCAAGAAUCCAUGUGUUGGAUCGGUUCCAGAACUUUCUAUCUUCUUGACGCAGGGUGGCCAAAUGUCUGCAUGGCUUUCAGUGAGUGCUGCACGCUUGAUUGGUCAUUGUGGGUAAGGUAGCUAACACAUGUCCUCCGGCUCACCCCAGGGGUAACGAGCAUGGGGCACAUUCCCCUCCCCACUGGGCAUACAGACAGAAACGUGGGCUUUAUGUAAGGUUUAUUUAUUGGGCUCCAGCAGCUAUGGCCAUAUGCUUGCGUAACUUUGGGAGGCCUGUAUUAGGGUUAUAAUUCUUCUGUUUGGAACUCAUCCCGAUCUUUAGAAGUUAAAAAGUGACUGGCCUCCUUCCAGCUAUGUUUCUGUCAGGCAGCUUUGGGAGUCAGGGGUGAUGAGCCAGGCUUGAGUUUGCCUUCUCAGUUUGUAUCCUUAUAAAAGAGACAACGCAGAUGCCUCUUAAAGAGAAGCCCCCCAAAAUGUAGCCAUCUGCCUGUACCCUUAUUUUACCUUCAGAUCAGGUUCAAAUAAGACCAGAAAUACUAAAGCCAUGUAAGCCCAGUGCUUACCCCAACAGCUGUAUACUUUAUAUGGAUAAAACAGAAUUGCCAGCAUGGCACUUUACCACACCAGCGUGCCACAAAGUAAUGCAGAAAAGGUUGCAUUUACUUCUGGAUGACCUCCACCCCUGCAUUCAAUGAAAAGUGAAAUAUGGAGGGAGGUCUUGGGCCUGUAUGCAUGUAACACUUGAUAACACUAGUUGAACAAUAGCAUGCCCAAAACCCAAAGAGCAGGGUGGUAUGGUUAAAGUUUACCAUGGCUAUUUAGUUUGGAUUACUCUGUGAUUUAACUGAAUCAGUAAACAGGGAGACUGAAUUUGGAAAUGCGGGAGGAAAAAGUGAGAGAUGGGAGGGAGGAGACGGUGACUGCAUGGGGGUUGGGUGGGGUGGGGGGGGGGCUUUUCAGAGUUGUGUAAGGACAAAUCA
Long non-coding RNA from Anguilla rostrata (American eel), 6855 nucleotides. RefSeq lists it as uncharacterized. The transcript is spliced from 3 exons. NCBI's taxonomy places the organism in Eukaryota, Metazoa, Chordata, Actinopteri, Anguilliformes, Anguillidae. The record is from RefSeq and is a predicted model, not a curated record.